RNAcentral lists this ribosomal RNA (586 nucleotides) under uncultured bacterium. RNAcentral describes it as "bacterial SSU rRNA". It matches the Rfam family "Bacterial small subunit ribosomal RNA", at positions 338 to 916 of the family's 1533-position model. The record is from RNAcentral.
CCUACGGGAGGCAGCAGUGGGGAAUUUUGGACAAUGGGCGCAAGCCUGAUCCAGCAAUGCCGCGUGCAGGAUGAAGGCCUUCGGGUUGUAAACUGCUUUUGUACGGAACGAAACGGUUCGCUUUAAUACAGUGGGCUAAUGACGGUACCGUAAGAAUAAGCACCGGCUAACUACGUGCCAGCAGCCGCGGUAAUACGUAGGGUGCGAGCGUUAAUCGGAAUUACUGGGCGUAAAGCGUGCGCAGGCGGUUUUGUAAGACAGAUGUGAAAUCCCCGGGCUCAACCUGGGACCUGCAUUUGUGACUGCAAGGCUAGAGUACGGUAGAGGGGGAUGGAAUUCCGCGUGUAGCAGUGAAAUGCGUAGAUAUGCGGAGGAACACCGAUGGCGAAGGCAAUCCCCUGGACCUGUACUGACGCUCAUGCACGAAAGCGUGGGGAGCAAACAGGAUUAGAUACCCUGGUAGUCCACGCCCUAAACGAUGUCAACUGGUUGUUGGGUCUUCACUGACUCAGUAACGAAGCUAACGCGUGAAGUUGACCGCCUGGGGAGUACGGCCGCAAGGUUGAAAACUCAAAGGAAUUGACGG